UGGGGAAUUUUGGACAAUGGGGGCAACCCUGAUCCAGCAAUGCCGCGUGAGUGAAGAAGGCCUUCGGGUUGUAAAGCUCUUUUGUCAGGGAAGAAACGGUGAUCGCUAAUAUCGGUUGCUAAUGACGGUACCUGAAGAAUAAGCACCGGCUAACUACGUGCCAGCAGCCGCGGUAAUACGUAGGGUGCAAGCGUUAAUCGGAAUUACUGGGCGUAAAGCGUGCGCAGGCGGUUAUAUAAGUCAGAUGUGAAAUCUCCGGGCUCAACCUGGGAACUGCAUUUGAGACUGUAUGGCUAGAGUGUGUCAGAGGGGGGUAGAAUUCUACGUGUAGCAGUGAAAUGCGUAGAUAUGUGGAGGAAUACCGAUGGCGAAGGCAGCCCCCUGGGAUAACACUGACGCUCAUGCACGAAAGCGUGGGGAGCAAACAG
RNAcentral lists this ribosomal RNA (428 nucleotides) under uncultured bacterium. RNAcentral describes it as "bacterial SSU rRNA". It matches the Rfam family "Bacterial small subunit ribosomal RNA", at positions 355 to 775 of the family's 1533-position model. The record is from RNAcentral.